RNAcentral lists this long non-coding RNA (1318 nucleotides) under Gopherus agassizii (Agassiz's desert tortoise). RNAcentral's name for it is "lncRNA (ENSGAGG00000010290.1)". Lineage: Eukaryota; Metazoa; Chordata; Testudines; Testudinidae. The record is from RNAcentral.
AUGGACAAGGACCAAGGGAAAACAGGAGGGGUCAAAGGCUAUUUUCCAAAGAGCCCUCUUUAUGUCAUGGGUUGCACCACACUGCUGUGCCUCAGCUUUGGCUACAUUUGGAAUAUGUCCAAUGGUCCCUGCCUGGACACACCAAUCAAGAUCUUCAACACAGUAAACAGUAAUACCCAGGACUUCCACAAUAUAAAGCAAUCAAGGUGGGACCUUUUGUUAAUUACACUUACUGUCUGUUUCAUGAUCACUAACUUGAUAGGCCUUUACUCAUAUGAUAAUUCCCAUUUACUUCAGUGGGACUACUUGUGUGAAUAAUGAGUAUUCAUGUAUAGGUUUGCAGGUCUGUCUUCCUUGGACUUGUAUUACUUUUAAACCAGUUAUGCUCUAACAAUGUUGUACUUUUGGUAAACUUCCAAUGGUUUCUUUCUAUUAAAAAACAAACAUGAUAUAUGAUCACAAUGACAUUCAAGAUGCAAAGAUAUUAAGACAGAACUUUUUCUUGAAUAUUUAGAUGCUGGGAAACAUGAAUUAAUUCAAUGAUUUCUUGGACUAGUUACUUUCUAUUGAAUGUUGUCUUUCUGUAAGCCAAAUUUCCAUUGUUCUUUCUCUAUAGCAACCAUAGCCUGGAAGAUUUACUACAAAUUGAAUUAUCAAGGUAGAACUUUCCAUUAGUUUCUGUUAAGUGUUUCAGCUGCUUUCAGAAGAGCUCUGGUAUUCCUGAAGGAUGGUAAUCUAUGCUUGUUGAACUUCAGUACUCUGUCUUAGCAUUGCAUUUCUGUAUUAUGAAUCGUCAAUACAGGAUAAUGACACUGAGAUUUAGACAAGCUCAGAUGUUACCUAUCUUUGAAAGCUCUCAGCAGUGAUCUCAUGGAUUCCCCUCCUCUCUAAGGAUGUUCACAUUGCUUGGGUUACACCAGUCUGUACCUCAAUUCUGACCUCCAGGAAGUUCUACUGUUCAGGUUCUGACCCCACACACUGCUCUGUCAAUGUUCCACAUUCCCUACCUGCAAAACUUUUCUACUCCUGCCCUGUGUGCUCACACCACUUUGCUAAUGCAUCUCAUUCCUGACUUUUAAUGUCUCCCUCUGGGCAUCUCAUAAGCAUAGAUUGUCAAUCAAGCCACACUGUGGGGGGGAAGUGGGGCAAUUUGCCCCCGGGCCCUGCAGGGGCCCCCACAAGAAUAUAGUAUUCUGUAGUAUUGCAACUUUUUUUAUGGAAGGGGCCCCCAAAAUUGCUUUGCCCCAGGCCCCCUGAAUCCUCUGGGUGGCCCUGCACUGUAUAGAGGUUUUGUGAUGUGAACCAAUAUUAGGGACUA